RNAcentral lists this small RNA (897 nucleotides) under Pongo abelii (Sumatran orangutan). RNAcentral's name for it is "retained intron". Lineage: Eukaryota; Metazoa; Chordata; Mammalia; Primates; Hominidae. The record is from RNAcentral.
CUCAUCAAGACAGCCCCCUGCUCAGCCUCCACGGACAGGAUCCGAGUUCCCCAGGCUGGAGGGAGCCCCGGCCACAAUGACGCCCAAGCUGGGGCGAGGUGUCUUGGAAGGAGAUGAUGUUCUCUUUUAUGAUGAGUCACCACCACCAAGACCAAAACUGAGUGCUUUAGCGGAAGCCAAAAAGUUAGCUGCUAUCACCAAAUUAAGGGCAAAAGGCCAGGUUCUUAUAAAAACAAACCCAAACAGCAUUAAGAAGCAAAAGGACCCUCAGGACAUCCUGGAGGUGAAGGAACGUGUAGAAAAAAACACCAUGCUUUCUUCUCAAGCUGAGGAUGAAUUGGAGCCUGCCAGGAAAAAAAGGAGAGAACAACUUGCCUACCUGGAAUCUGAGGAAUUUCAGAAAAUCCUAAAAGCAAAAUCAAAACACACAGGCAUCCUGAAAGAGGCCGAGGCUGAGAUGCAGGAGCGCUACUUUGAGCCACUGGUGAAAAAAGAACAAAUGGAAGAAAAGAUGAGAAACAUCAGAGAAGUGAAGUGCCGUGUCGUGACAUGCAAGACGGUGGGUGAAGGUGGGGGCUGCAGAAACCCAUGGGCCCUGUGUGGUGCUUUUGUGACUCGGCAGCAUGUGGAGAACCUGUGGGAUCUGGGGCCCUAUCUCGUGAUGUGUCAGUUAAUUAGGCUGGAAAGCAAAGGGCGCAGGUGGCCCAGGACCCAGCUUCCUGCCUGACCUGGCUGCUGAGCUCUGCUGAUAGAGUGUUUGUUGAGGGGAUUCUUCUCUCAUUUGACCACAGCACCGAGUUUGGAUGGGCCCUAACAUCUCUUGCCCUGGACCACUGGGUCCGCAUGGCUCUGACCACUCUUUCUCAGGUUCUGGCAUAUCCUUGCUCAGUGUUCUCA